CGGGACGUGGCUCAGCCUGGUAGAGCACAUCGUUCGGGACGAUGGGGUCGCAGGUUCGAAUCCUGCCGUCCCGACCA
Molecule: transfer RNA, 77 nt
Filed under: Desulfobulbaceae bacterium A2
Lineage: Bacteria; Pseudomonadati; Thermodesulfobacteriota; Desulfobulbia; Desulfobulbales; Desulfobulbaceae
Description: tRNA-Pro
Rfam family: tRNA
About the family: Transfer RNA (tRNA) molecules are approximately 80 nucleotides in length.
Source: RNAcentral